UCGGUGCCCACCUCGCUGCCCGCCUCGCCUCCCUGCCCGGGCAGGAGCCGCACGGCCCCGCGAGGGAGGCGGGGCGGUGAGCGGCGUUGAGCGGCCGGCGCGGGGGGUGAGGAGCAUCGGGCUGUGCUGAGGGGUCCGGCCGUGCCCUCGGCCCGCCGGGCUCUGCGCCAGCGCUGGGAGCCAAGCCUGGCCCUCCUGGCGUGGGAAAACAAUCCCGUAGCGCCCGCUCGCCACAGUGCUGCUCUGCUGCCAUGAAAAUGUGUGUCACGUACCUGGAGUAGAAUCGUAGAAUCGUAGAAUCAUCGAGGCUGGAAGAGACCUUUAAGAUCAUCCAGCACAACUGUCCACCCAGCACUGCCACUGUAACCCCUAAACCACAGAAUCAUAACACCCAGCACCAGAUCCAGAUGCCUCCUGAACACCUCCACCCUGGGCAACAUAUUCCAGUGCCUGAUCACCACAACAGUGAAAAAAAUUUUUCUAAUAUCCAGUCUGAAUCUCCCCUGUCUCAGUUUAAAGGCCUUAAGUAGCCGCUAUUGGAGUUACAGUACAGCUAGACUAGGCUGGUAGUCCAGUUGGUUUUGCAUCACCAAAUUAUCCUUUUCUUAUAAAUGUUAGCAAAAUGAAAAAAAAAAAGCAACUCAAUAAAAAGUCUUAAACACUUCAGGUUUAAGAUAUAAACGAACUAGGUUUUAGCUGCCAAUCAUAAAACGACCAACCCUAAUCACUAUUUGAAUUUUGAGGGGGAAAAUAUGCUUUACCAAUUCAAUUAUGCUUAUCUAGACACCACGGGAAUAUUACCUGAAACUCUAGUACAAGUGCUGAGCUCUAAGGCUAGGGAAGUUUUCAAAUAAAAGCAACCUCCACCAAUAUAAUAAAUUUUAAUUUAAGGUAUGAUGCACAGCACUAGUAAGAACAAAAUGCCUUUCAACUUUCAAGGUCAAAAUCUAAUGAAGACAUGCUAAUUGUAGGUUUUACACACCAUUUCUAAAGGAGCAUGACAACAUGGUCCUAGACAUGCACUUGCAUUAACAUCUCAUGAUCAACAACCUGGCACUUUGGGUUUGUUUUUCUUCAGCAGCAGAAGAAACCAAACUCAAAACCAAACUCAAUCUUUGACAGUUCAUAAGCAGCAUUUAACAGAACUAAAUUUUUAACAUUUCAGCUAAAUCUCACAACCCAUAACAGCAUGCCUCUUGAAUUCCUGAGCUAAACAGGGGGAAGUUAAAGAGCAUCCUUGCUUCUUUUGAAGCUCUUGAAGGUUUGGACUCCUUUACACUGUGAAAACGUUUGGGGAGAAGAUUGGGAGUUCCUGAACAUUAUUGAGCUUGUUCACAAUUGAGACCUAAAUAUCCGUGACAAAGUCUGCGUACAUCCUGUGUUCGUGUGUCUCAAAAGAAGAGAAUAAAGUCAAAAGCAAGUCCUACUCUGUAACAACAACUAAAAAAGCUUCAUCUCUGGGGCUUAAUCUCUUUCACAUUUGCAUACAUCUGUCAGUCUUACAUGCCCGUGACGCUGCCAGGCAGCUGGGAAGCACCUCUUCAGCAUUAUACCAGGACUAUAUCCAUCCUUGAAAAUUAUAUCACUGUUUCUGCCAUACUCUACAACUGCAAACAGUGUCUGUUUAAUAAACAAUGCUCAAAGUA
Molecule: long non-coding RNA, 1646 nt
Organism: Pseudopipra pipra
Lineage: Eukaryota; Metazoa; Chordata; Aves; Passeriformes; Pipridae
Exons: 2
Source: RefSeq, a predicted model, not a curated record